RNAcentral lists this long non-coding RNA (302 nucleotides) under Lathyrus oleraceus (garden pea). RNAcentral describes it as "Pisum sativum (pea) long non-coding RNA (PSAT_LNC029868)". The record is from RNAcentral. Lineage: Eukaryota; Viridiplantae; Streptophyta; Magnoliopsida; Fabales; Fabaceae.
AAAUUUGUUCACACUCGGGACUUAACUUAAAAUAAUAUUUUUUUUUUUUUAAUAAUAAAUAAUAAUUAAAAUAGCAAUGAAAGGAAAGGUACAUACUUGAAGAAAUGGAAAUAGAAAGAACAUGGUUUCCCCCCCAUACUUAAACUAAACAUUGUCCCCAAUGUUUUAAGGAAAUGAAAUACAAUAUGGAAAGGAAAAAGAAACUACAACUAAGGUUGUCUUCCGCCUCUGGUUCUUGGACCUGGUGAUCUCUGACGUAAGUCUAAGUUGUCGAACCUGCUGAACAACUCAGUAAACCGCUG